Molecule: ribosomal RNA, 631 nt
Filed under: Escherichia coli
Lineage: Bacteria; Pseudomonadati; Pseudomonadota; Gammaproteobacteria; Enterobacterales; Enterobacteriaceae
Description: partial 23S ribosomal RNA
Rfam family: Bacterial large subunit ribosomal RNA
Source: RNAcentral
AAUGCUGACAUAAGUAACGAUAAAGCGGGUGAAAAGCCCGCUCGCCGGAAGACCAAGGGUUCCUGUCCAACGUUAAUCGGGGCAGGGUGAGUCGACCCCUAAGGCGAGGCCGAAAGGCGUAGUCGAUGGGAAACAGGUUAAUAUUCCUGUACUUGGUGUUACUGCGAAGGGGGGACGGAGAAGGCUAUGUUGGCCGGGCGACGGUUGUCCCGGUUUAAGCGUGUAGGCUGGUUUUCCAGGCAAAUCCGGAAAAUCAAGGCUGAGGCGUGAUGACGAGGCACUACGGUGCUGAAGCAACAAAUGCCCUGCUUCCAGGAAAAGCCUCUAAGCAUCAGGUAACAUCAAAUCGUACCCCAAACCGACACAGGUGGUCAGGUAGAGAAUACCAAGGCGCUUGAGAGAACUCGGGUGAAGGAACUAGGCAAAAUGGUGCCGUAACUUCGGGAGAAGGCACGCUGAUAUGUAGGUGAAGUCCCUCGCGGAUGGAGCUGAAAUCAGUCGAAGAUACCAGCUGGCUGCAACUGUUUAUUAAAAACACAGCACUGUGCAAACACGAAAGUGGACGUAUACGGUGUGACGCCUGCCCGGUGCCGGAAGGUUAAUUGAUGGGGUUAGCGCAAGCGAAGCUCUU